Molecule: small RNA, 9624 nt
Filed under: Pongo abelii (Sumatran orangutan)
Lineage: Eukaryota; Metazoa; Chordata; Mammalia; Primates; Hominidae
Description: sense intronic
Source: RNAcentral
GCAGUGAGCUAUGAUUAUGCCUGUGAAUAGCCACUGCACUCUAGCCUGGGUGACAGAGCAAGACUCUGUCUCAAAAAAAAAAAAAAAAAAAAAAAUAGGUUUAAGUAACUCCCCACCCCCAGGUGCUGGGGUUAGUGAUGUGUCUGGGCUUGAAUGGGCUCUGUCCAUUUGGUGCUGUGUUCACUGAGCCAGGUUGAGUGUGGCAUCCUGUGCUGGACCCUGGGGUUGGGGGAUGGCUAAGUGACUUCCCUGCUAUGCAGGAUUUGAUUUAUGUUCCUCCUAGAUGUCUGCAGUGCCACCCACCCCUGCCUUUGCUGCUUUGCUGCUGAAGACCCCCAGGCUGUUUUGGCCUUGGUGGGGCGAGGGCUGGGCUGCUGCGUGUCUUCCAGAUUUCAGAUUAAGAAGGCCACAUUGAGGGGCAUGGGGUGGACUGACUGGGAAAGCUAAUUAACAUCCUUUGGGGCAAAGUACAACUAAGGACAGGAAGGAGCUGAGGAAUAAAUGCCUCUUCCCGACUUUCCUGAUGUGCACUUCUGAGACCAUGGCUCAUGGAGAUGGGCCACGUGGCUGAGCAUCAGCUGGGUUUUCUUCUGAAGCCAUAGCCAGCUCAGGCACCUGCCUCACCUCCCUUCCCCUCCCUGUUGCUAGCCUAGGGUGCCCUCCUCUCACCCCCAAAGCCCUGCCAAAGAAAAUGCAUCAGCAGUGAGCUUUGUCCUGGCUCUGUUUUGCAGGGAACCUGGGCCAGAAUCAUGGUCCCCAAAGAUGACCAUGUGAUAAUCUCUGGAGCCAUUGACUAUCAUCUUACAUGACAAAGGGACAUGGCAGGUGUAGUUAAUGACCUUGCAAUGAGGAGGUCAUCCUGGAUGAUCCAAGUAGGCCCAGUGUGUUCGCUAGUGUCUGUGUAAGAGGGACAUGGGGAGCUUCGACUGCACAUGAACAUGGCAGCUUGACCCUGGAGGCAAGGUGGUAGCUUCUGGCUCUGAAGUUGGAAGAAGGGGGCCACACACUAAUGGAUGCAGGCGGCCUCUGCCUCUAGAAGUGGAAGAGACAAAUGGAUUCUCCACUGGAGAACUCAGAAGGAACCCUGGCGCCUCCAGAAGGAACCAGCCCUGCUGACACCUGGAUUUUAGCCCAGCGGAACAGAUUUUGGACUUUGACUUCUAGGACUGCAAGAGAGGUCAAAGCUGCAGAGCUGUUGGAAGCCCCUGGAUUUGUGUCAAUUUGUUACAGCAGCCACAAGCAACUAACACCAUCCCCUUCUCCAGGCUGCUGCCUCCAGCUGCAGCUGGCGGGCCCUGGCCACUGGGGCCAGGCAGGGUGGGUUUUGGUACCUGCAGCGGCAGUAUCCUUGGCCAUUUCCUGGAAGGGCCAGUUGCCAGACACUGAGAUGCCUGUUACUGCAACUGUCCCACCAGCCUGGAGCACGUGUUUCUGGAGACAGGCAAUUUCUGGAAGGCUCCACCUGCUCUCAGACUGCAGGUUGCGUCUCAAAGCAGGCUGGCAGACGUUUUCCACUCUUGAUCAAUCAUUUUCCGAAAUAAGCAUAGACACAGCAACCAGGAGAGCAGCUUCGGUUUGGCUGUCAGUGGCGUGUUAGUUACUGUAGUAGUGGCAGAGAGGCGAUGUACAUUAAAUAUUAGUUCUCACUGACUAUAGCCUUUUAAACAGAGAAGCGUGUGGGUGGCAGCAGGUGAGUUGGCUAUGCUGAGCCUGGGCUGCACUUGGUUGAUUCUCGUUUGUCAGGCAUGCAGGGGGCUCUCUGUGCGUCCAGGGGUUUUCCCUGUCUGGAUUUGCUCAUGUUCGUGGGUUUUCAGCACCUCCUUUCUUCUGGUUUGGGAAUGAGUCAGGUCCUCACUACACAAGGCCAGAGCAACAUGCGUGUGUGGGUAGGGGUGAGCAGGUGUCAUUCCCUGCCUCUCCUCCUUCACUGCCCCGGCCACCCUGACCACCUUGCUGUUCCGAGGACACACUGAGCCAGUGCCCACUGGGCGUCAGGCGAAAGGGGACAUCCAACAAGCCCACCCUCACUUCUGACACCAAUGGCAAGUUCAGGAUCUCCAACACUGCCCUGAGGUUUGAUCAUUUGCUAGAGGGACUCCCAGAACUCACUUAAAGCUGUCACACUCACAGUUACAGUUUCUGAUGGUGAAGGGAUACAGAUGAAAAUCAGCCGAGGGAAGAGUUGCCCAGGGCAGAGUUGAACGCACCCACACAGCACCUCCGUUGUCCUUUCAGCAUGGGGUCAUGGGCAGUGUUACUCUCCCGGUGAUGUGGGACAAUGCGCAUGCAGUAUUGCCAGCCAGGGAAGUCGUCUGAGCCUCUGUGUCCAGAGUUUCUCCUGGAGCUCCCUUGCAUGGGUGUGGCUGACUGUCCACAUGGCUCAUCUGUCUGCAGCCCCUCCAGCAGCUGGCUGAUAGAGUGCAACCCAAAGCCCCCUCCCUGAAUCACAUAGUUACUCUCUGGCUGGCCUGAGGGCCCCAGGUAAGCAGAGGUACUUUAUCUGGCAGGGCAUUUCGGAGUUUAGGAGAUCACCUCCCAGGGGCUGAGGUCACAGGCCCAACCUUUCUGUGGGCAAGGUUAGGUUCAUUAUCACGUACCUGGUCUUUGGACUUUCAAAGGCCCAUGCCUGGAGCUGUCUUCUCCACUUCUUUCAGUUUUCUCUCAAUGCUUCCUCCUUGGAGAUGUAUUUCCUGCCCCUGUCACUCCAUCACUCUCCUAACCCCAGUUACUUUUUCUUUGCUGGGCUUGCUGCUGCCUGGAGUCAUUUCCUAUUUGCUAGUUUGUUUUUGGUCUUUCUCCCCCGCUAGAAUGUAAUCUUAUGCUGUGAGGGACCAUGACCAUUCUCUUCCCAGCUAAAUCCCCAGAGCUGGAGUCCUCCUGCACAUGCAGAGCUAAUUCAUCCUUGAUAGAUAGUGAGAGAACCAAUGGGGGUUUGUGUCAGCAGCACCAACAUGAGGUUCACACCAGGGUCUUCCAAGGUGGCAUGUGGCUUAGAGACAAGACAGAUGUGGUUGCUUUUUGUUGUUGUUGUUGUUGUUUUGAGAUAGGGUCUUAUUCUGUCACUCUGUCACCCAGGCUGGAGUGCAGUGGCAUGAUCUCAGCUUACUGCAACCUCUGCCUCCCAGGCUCAAGUGAGUCUCCUGCCUCAGCCUCCCAAGUAGAUGGGAUUAUAGGCAUGCACCAUGACACCCAGCUAAUUUUUUGUAUUUUUAGUAGAGAGGGGGCUUCAUGAUGUUGGCCAGGCUGGUCUCAAACUCCUGACCUUAAGUGAUCUGCCUGUCUUGGCCUCCCAAAGUGCUGGGAUUACAGGCGUGAGCCACUGCACGCCCAGCCAGAUGUGUUUUUUGUUUUUUUUUUUGCUCUACCCCAAAUCUGUGAGAUGGCAGGGAGGAGGCUCUGGGAAGAGGGAGUGAGGGUUGGGGUAAACCUGUGGAUUGAAUGCUGAUGUAGGUGGUCCCAGGUGCUCCACUGAGAGGAGAUGGACAGUCUGGAUGGUGCAGACAAAACACCUCCAUCCACAUUACCGGUGUAAUUCUCUCUGCUUUCCAGAGCAUCCUUUGUGUGCUGUGGACUGUGAUGAUCUAAUGCUAGUGGAUUACAUCUAAGUAGGCCUUAGUAGAAGCCACCUGCCAGUGGUUCCUCGGAGGCAUUUGGUCCAGAAGCAGAUGAUUUUAGUGCAAAGCACAGACCGUAUGCAGGCCUGAGCAGGUCAGGGGACAGACAGAUCUGGCUGACAUCCUGACCCGCUGGAUAUGGUGGUGUGGCCAUUGCUUGUGGCCACAUUGCAGUCUUGAAUGUCCCCCGUGGAAAUGGGAGACAUUUCCAAGGAUGCCUGCCUGGUCCUCUAGUUUUCUCUUUCUCUGUUCUCUGUCAUCUGCACUUUUUUCCUCUUGUCUUGAUUGCUUGUCCUGUCUCCCCUAGUAGAUACCCCCUCUGACCUCUGCUGCCUUGGGACUGUCGCUGUAUAAAAUAUUGUGAGCUGCCCUCUGCUCCUGUUUAAAAAAAAAAGAAAAAAAUCCUUAGCUCUGGCUAAGCUAGGCACUGAGAAUGAGGCCAGUCAUUCAAAACUUGUCUCUGAGCAUUGAUUAUACUCAUGUAUUAUACUGUUAAGGGGUGAAGGUCGGCUCUGGGGUCAGCUUCCUGGAUUCAAAUCCUAACUCAGAUUAAAGUGAGAGAAUAAUAGCACCAACCUGACAACCUCAAAGUAUCAUUGUAAGGAUAGUGUUAGAUCAUACACUUGAUCACCCGUUAGCACUGUCAGGGCAGUGCUGGGAACAUGAACAUAAACAGGGCAGCCCAGGAGGGAGGUGAAUGGACAGAUGGGCAGUGCCAAUUUGGUAGUGGAUGCAUGCAUCUGGUGGGUUCAGGAGCCUGGAAGACUUAUCCAAAAGCCAUCUUUGCUGGUGUUUCUUCCUGUGUAUUUUCUCUAACCUUCUCCAGCAGUGAUCUGACUUACUUAUGGGUGAACAGUGAAUGCUGCCCAGGCAACUAGAGGUUUAUAGAUGAGAUACUUUAAAUUUUUAAUGAUUCUUAAAAGAGGGAGUGGCUAUUUUUAUGCUUUCCAGAAUGAAUAGCCAAGGGAAACCUAUACAGUUGCAAUAUAAGGAGAAACCUAGACCUGGCCUUAGCCUCUAGGUCCUGGUGCAGAUUCUUAGCACAUAGGGCCUAAAACCUUUGCGAUUUCCUGAGUGAUAGGAGCGUCUUUUGUUUUUCAUAAUGGCAUCUGGGUUUAUGCUAAUGAGGUGACUCAGGGUGGGGGCUGGCCUCAGAGUAACCAAGCACAGGAUUAGAGGGUUGGGGCUAUCAAUCCUACCCACCCCCAGCCUCUGGGUGGGAUGGAGAGGGGCUGGAGAGUGAAUCAAAUCACCAAUAGCCAAUGAUGUAAUCAGUCACGCCUACAUAAUGAAUCCUCCACAAAACCCAUCAACAGUGGGAUUCAGAGAGCUUUGGAGCUGGGGAACACACAUGGAGGUGCUGGGAGGGGGACACGCAGGGAGAGGGCAUGGAAGCCCCGUCCCUCCCCCAAAACUCUCUCCUGUGCAGUGUUUCUUAUUAAUUACGCUGUCCCUGAGUUCUUUCUUUAUUUAUUUAUUCUUUGAGAUGGAGUCUCGCACUGUCGGCCAGGCUACAGUGCAGUGGUGCAAUCUCAGCUCACUGUGACCUCUGCCUCCUGGGUUCAAGCGAUUCUCCUGCCUCAGCCUCCCAAGUAGCUGGGAUUACAGGCGCCCAACACUACGCCUGGCUACUUUUUAAUAUUUUAGUAGAGAUGGUGUUUCAGCAUAUUGCCCUGGCUGGUUGCAAACUCCUGAGCUCAGGCAAUCUGCCGGCCUCAGCCUCCCAAAGUACUGGGAUUACAGGCAUGAGCCACUGCACCUGGCCCGCUGUGCCUGAGUUCUAACCUUUAUAGUAAGUUGGUAAUCCCAAGUAAAAUGCUUUUCUGAGCUCCAUGUGUUCUGGCAAAUCACUCAACCUGAGGUGAGGGCCCUGAUUUGUAAUCAGUGGGAAGAGGCUCAGGUAGCCUGGGAGCCCCAUCUGCAGCGGUGUCUGGAAUGAAGUCAGUUUGGUGGGACUGAGCUCUUAGCCUGUGGGGUCAACUCCAGGCAGUUAGUGUUAGAAUCAGACUGAACUGUAGGACACCCCAUUGGUAUCAGAUAAUCAGAGAAUUGCUGUUGGAAUAACACAUUGGGUGUCAGAAAAAAAACCACAGAAAACUCCCUAAGCAGAUUGGUUGAAAGCAGGCUGACUGCAUGUCAUCUGGGGGUGCGUCUUCCCUCAAGAGCAGGUUUCACAUCUCACUCCCCGGUUGAUUGGACAAGACCCUUCCUGUCUUUAAGUUCUGUUUUCUUCCUCCCUUUGUCUCUGCGAAGAAAAUCAGCUGCAUGAAAAUGAUCAUCUGGGCAGAAAUUGGUGCUGUUGGAGCUGCGCAGAGGUGCCCUCCUGUGCCCCCUGGCCCCCACUGGGCCGUGUCUCCUCCUGCCUGUUGCAAUCAGCCCUCAUCCGACUCUUUUUGGAAGUGAUUAAAACAUAACUGUCAUAGCUCUGGGGGAGACAGGCUGCAGAUCCUGAUUAUAAUUCAGAAGGAUCUAAAGGAAAAGUAAUUUUUUAAAAAAAUUCUGGUUAAAGCAAAAGCUUGUAAGACGUGUGAUGGAGUGGUAUGCAUGAGCACAAUUAAUGUAUGUGCUAGACAUCUGCCCACAGGAUUCGGGGUUGGCAAAUGAGUGCGUCCCUAAAAAUAAUGACUAGUGCUAUCUUUAAAAAGUCUUUUGUGGCAUAGCAGAUUAAGAUGGAUGGCCUGGGAAGUACAGUGGCAGCAUGCGCUGUGGUAUCCAGGAAUAAGUUGUACCUCCUCGGGGUGGCGGUGGAACUGGGCCGUGAACAGCUUUCGCUUCCCAGAGAGGACUGCCAUGGCCUGCUGCAUGGAAUUUGAUUUUAAUCUUUCUGUUUGUUAUUUUUGGGUUUGGUCUUAGACCGGGUUUGAGAUCCAGAUGUGAUUUUUUUUUUUUUCUUUUUUCAGUUUUCUUUAUAGCAGCAAUGUUGUCUCUUGUGUGUUUCCUAACAAGACUGAGCUCUGAGCAAGACAGCCUCUGGAACCAAAUGUCUGCAUGCCCAGGAGACCUUUCUAGAAAGUCCAUAGGCAGUUCUGCAGUUUGAGCCCCUUCUGUGGGUCUGUGCCUGCUUUAGCUGCUGGAGAUAUGGCACUGAACAAAACACAGGCCCCACCUGGGAGGAGCUGCCAGGCCAGCUGGCGAGACAGACCUGAUGAGUGAAAAUGAGAUCACAUGGCCUGCAUGCUCCACAGAAGACUAAGGCAGGAAACAGGACUAUUUUCUCUCCACUGAAUUAUCCUGGUAUCCUUGUUAAUAUCAGUUGACUGUGACGUGAGACUUAUCUUGGACGCCCCUUUCUGUUCCAUGGGUCUGUGUCAGCCUUGAUGUCAGUCCCACAGUUUCGAUGACUGGAGCUUUGUAGUCAAGUUUGAAACAGUGGAGUGUGGGUCCUCCAGUUUUGUUCAUCUUUUUCAGAUUGUUUUGGCAAUCCAGGAGUCCCUUGAAUUUACAUAUGCAUUUUAUUUUAUUUUAAUUAUUAUUAUUAUUAUUAUUAUUAUUAUUAUUUUUAGAUGGAGUCUUUCUCUGUUGCCCAGUCUGGAGUGCAGUGGUGCAAUCUGGGCUCACUGCAACCUCCGCCUCCCAGGUUCCAGUGAUUAUCCUGCCUCAGCCUCUCAAGUAGCCAGAAUUACAGGCAUGCACCACCAUGGCCAGCUAAUUUUUGUAUUUUUAGUAGAGACAGGGUUUCACUAUGUUGGCCAGGCUGGUCUCAAUCUCCUGACCUUAAGUGAUCCACCAGCCUUGGCCUCCCAAAGUGCUGGGAUUACAGGCGUGAGCCAUUGCACCCGACCUAUAUAUGCAUUUAAGACCUGCUUGUCAAGUUCUUUAGAAGCCAUCUGGAUAGUGAUUAAUUUGUAAAAAUGAUAAUUAUUAUCUUUUUGAACUGUCAGAGUAAUAUAUGCUGCUGAAAACCUGGAAGACAGAAAAAUCCAACAGAAGGCAGGGCUAAUUUUUUUUUUUUCAUAUAUGUCCCUUCAGGCUUCUCUGAGUUUUUCAUUUUUCCUACACAAAUUUGGAAUCAUUCCAGAGCUAGUAAGCAUUUAGGGCCACAUUUGGAUUAGUACCUUGGUAUAAAUUAGAGCUGGAAUUGCUGGGUCAUAUAGUGUGCACAGGGCUAGGGACUGACUUAUUUUCCUUUCUGAAUGAAGACUCUGAGGUCCAGAGAGGUUAAGUGAGUGACUCAAGGUCACACAGCUAAAACUCUGUUGGAGCUGGGUCUUAAUGCAGACCCUACGUAUUCAUGCCAUGCUGUAUUUACACAGGCGUGUACACCAGCAGGUCGGGAUUUUAGGGGGUGUUUUAAAAUUCUACCUGCAAAACUUUUUUUUUUUUUUUUUUUUGAGACAGGGUCUUGCUCUGUCACCCAGGCUGGAGUGCAGUGUCACCAUCACGGCUCACUGCAGCUUCCUCCCAGGCUCAAGCAAUGCUUCUGCCUCAGACCCCCGAGUAGCUGGGACUACAGGUGUGCACUGCCACACCUGGCUAAUUUUUAAAUUUUUUUGUAGAGAUGGGGUCUCAUUUUAUUGCCCAGGGUAGUCUCAAACUCCUGGGCUCAAAAAAUCAUCGUGCAUCAGCCUCCCAAAGUGCUAGGAUUGCAGGUGUGAGCCGCUGCACCAGGAAAACCCAUUUUAAAGCCAUUAGCCAAAAAUUAUAAAAGACAUGCAAAAUAUUACGAGUAGUCACUUAUCUAGUAUUUGCGGCAUUUCUCGGGCUUGGGGCUUUCCUGGGAGCUCUGAGGAGGUGGAAGAGGCUCUGUCCCUGGCCUUACCUGGCUGUCAAGGGCUGAGUGGUUGGUGGAGGGAAGAGGUCUGCAGCCUGGGAGGCUGCAGGUCAGAAGGAGGUCAGCCGGGGAGCUGGGAGGAUCAUGGGGAACCUGUGGUGGAAAUCAGGGUGGCGAGAGAGUGGAAGCAGGCAGAGGAGGGCUUUGAAGACCAAAAAGGGUAGUUAGGAUUGCUGCUCUGUGUGUCUGUAAACUUAGUGUUGUCUCUCAAAUUUAAAUGACAUGCUUUGAAAACAAAAAAACAAACAAAAACCAAACCCAUAUAAUCUCACUAAGUGGCCAGAGCAAGUUCCUGGGGGGGCAGAGCAUAGAUGCAGCAGUCUGGGUUCUGUGGCUGGGGGCAUUGGCUUGGGGUCAGUGGCUGGGUCAGUCUUCAAGAGCCACCCUGGGUGGCACUCCAAGUCUCUUGGUCUGGGGGGAAUACCCUGACCCGAGCGGUUUCACGGCCCCCUCCCCCCUCAGCCUGGGGGAGAGUCCAGGGUCGGCCCUGUCCCCCUCCCCCCACUCCUGUCACUAUCAGUCCCCUGUGCUCAGCUCACUGGCAGGGUUCCUCCUGGCUGUCCCCUCUGCCUCCAGCGCUCUUUCCUUCAGGUGUCCACGCAGCUCGUCCUCACCCUUUUCUGUCUCUGCUCAGAUGCCACCUGAGGCUCCCAAAACAGGGUCUCACUCUGUCGCCCAGGGUGGAGUGCAGUGGUGCAAUCACAGCUCACUGCAUCCUUGACUUCCAAGGCUCAAGCGAUCCUCCUGCCAGCGAGCUUGUUACAAUUCCUGUACCAAAACGGAUACAUUGUUACUAAGGCCCUGCACCAACACAGAUAGAUUGUUACUAAAUAAGGCCCUACACCAGAACGGAUACAUUGUACAUUGUUACUAAAGCCCUGCCCCAACACUGACACAUUGUUACUAACUAAGGCCCUGUACCAACGCAGAUACAUUGUUACUAAGGCCCUGUACCAACACAGAUACAUUGUUACUAACUAAGGCCCUGCACCAACACGGAUACAUCCCAUUGCUAACUACGGAGGUGCUUUAUUCAGAUAUCCUCAGUGUCACCUGCUCUCCUUUGGCCGUCUCAGGGUUCCUCCUAGGACACCACAUUGCAUUCAGUCCUGAGGCUUCUCUGGCCUCUGACAGUUUCUCAGACUUUCCUUGUUUCUGUUGACCUUGACAGUUUUGAGGAGUACUGCUCAGAGAGUUUGUAGACUGUCCCUCUGUUGGGGUUUGUCUGAUGCUUUCUUC